AUCCUGGCUCAGGAUGAACGCUAGCUACAGGCUUAACACAUGCAAGUCGAGGGGCAGCAUGGUCUUAGCUUGCUAAGGCCGAUGGCGACCGGCGCACGGGUGAGUAACACGUAUCCAACCUGCCGUCUACUCUUGGACAGCCUUCUGAAAGGAAGAUUAAUACAAGAUGGCAUCAUGAGUUCACAUGUUCACAUGAUUAAAGGUAAUUCCGGUAGACGAUGGGAGUG
This 227-nucleotide ribosomal RNA is filed under the name uncultured bacterium. Its description in RNAcentral is "partial 16S ribosomal RNA". It matches the Rfam family "Bacterial small subunit ribosomal RNA", at positions 16 to 233 of the family's 1533-position model. The record is from RNAcentral.